UUAAAAGGUUAGCGGCGGACGGGUGAGUAACACGUGGGCAACCUGCCUGUAAGAUCGGGAUAACGCCGGNGAAACCGGGGCUAAUACCGGAUAGUUUUUUCCUCCGCAUGGAGGCAAAAAGGAAAGACGGCUUCGGCUGUCACUUACAGAUGGGCCCGCGGCGCAUUAGCUUGUUGGUGGGGUAACGGCUCACCAAGGCAACGAUGCGUAGCCGACCUGAGAGGGUGAUCGGCCACAUUGGGACUGAGACACGGCCCAAACUCCUACGGGAGGCAGCAGUAGGGAAUCUUCCGCUAAUGGACGAAAGUACUGACGGAGCAACGCCGCGUGAGUGAAGAAGGCCUUCGGGUCGUAAAACUCUGUUGCCGGGGAAGAACAAGUGCCGUUCGUAACAGGGCGGCGCCUUGACGGUACCCGGCCAGAAA
Molecule: ribosomal RNA, 425 nt
Filed under: Bacillus sp. N-4-55-1
Lineage: Bacteria; Bacillati; Bacillota; Bacilli; Caryophanales; Bacillaceae
Description: bacterial SSU rRNA
Rfam family: Bacterial small subunit ribosomal RNA
Source: RNAcentral